Molecule: long non-coding RNA, 5235 nt
Filed under: Sus scrofa (pig)
Lineage: Eukaryota; Metazoa; Chordata; Mammalia; Artiodactyla; Suidae
Description: lncRNA (ENSSSCG00060044330.1)
Source: RNAcentral
UUUUUUUUUUUUUCCCCAAGUAAAGUAUUAUAAUCCCUUCACAUUUCCUUUUGUGUGUUUUCUAUAGCUAUUUUCCUUGUGAUUACUAUGGGGAACCACAUUUAAUAUCCCAAUGUUAUAUGCUCUGAUUCAAAUUAAUACCAGAUUAACUUUAACGGCAGAAAAACGCUGGCCCUUUACAGUUCCAUCCCCACCACUUUCAAUUGUUGUCACAAAAUUUCAUAUUCAUAUAAUGUGCUCCCUAAAGCAUAAACUUACUGAUUAAAUGAAUGAGUCUCUUAAAUUAUGUAGGAAACAAGAAGGUGUGUAACAAUUCUAGACCAGUGUUACAAUAAUACUUGUUUUUAUAAUUAAUUGUCCACAGAUUUACUUUUCUGAGAUCUUUCUUUAUAAAACUUUGAGUUACUGUCUAGGGUUCUUUUAUUUCACCUUUCAGGGCUCCUAUGAGAACUUCUUGCUUGCUACCAAGUCUAGUGAUAAUCAAUUCCAUCAGUUUUUGUUUAUCUAGCCAUGUCCUAAUUUCUCCCUCACUUUUGAAGGACAGUUUUGCCAGAUAUGGAAUCUUCGGUUGAGACAAUUUUUUUUAUUUUAGCAUUUAGAAUAUAUUGGCCCACUGCCUUCCAGCCUCAAAAGUGCAUGAUGAGAAAUCUGCUGAUAAUCUUAUUGACGAUCUCUUGUAUAAGUUGCUUUCUGUUAUUACUCUCAAGAUUAUCUCUUUGUCCUUGGCUUGUGAAUAUUUGAUAAUAAUAUGUUUCAAUGUGGAUGUGUAAGUUCAUUUUACUUUGGGUUCAAUUAGCUUCUCAUAUGUGUAUAUUCACAUCUUUCAUCAAAUUUGGGAAAUUUUCAUUUAUUAGUUAAAAUAUUCUCUCUGCCCCCCUCUCUCUCCUUCUAGGAUAACCGUAACAUAUAUGUUGUGUGCUGAUCAACAUGACAUAAGCAAGAUCUUCUUUAAUCUUUUCUAAAUUUUAUUCAUAUAUAGUUGAUUUAAAAUGUGUUGGAGUUACCGUUGUGGUGCAGUGGUUAACAAAUCCGACUAGGAACCAUGAGGUUGUGGGUUUGACCCCUGGCCUUGCUCAGUAGGUUAAGGCUCCGGUGUUGACGUGAGCUGUGGUGUAGGUCACAGACGUGGCUCAGAUCCUGUGUUGCUGUGGCUUUGGUGUAGGCCGGCAGCAACAGCUCCAAUUAGACCCCUAGCCCGGGAACCUCCAUAUGCUGUGGGAGCAGCCCUAGAAAAGGCAAAAAGACAAAAAUAAAAAUAAAAAUGAAAUAAUAAAAUGUUAUGUUAGUUUCAGGCAUAAAGUGAUUCAAAUGUAGAUACAUUAUAUAUGUGUGUGUGUGUGUGUGUGCACACUAUCUUUUUUUUUCUCUUCCAUUAAAGGUUAUUAAAAGAUACUGAGUAUAGAUCCCUGUUCUAUACAGUAGGUUGUUCUUGAUUAUCCAUCUUACAUAUAAUAGUAUGUAUACUGUAAUUCCCAUCUCCUAAUUUAUCCCUUUCUCCUCAUUCCCUUGGUAGCCCUAAGUUUGUUUUCUAUGCCUGUUCCAAGAUUUUAUUUUGUAAAUAUCUUUAUUUGUAUCCAUGUUUUUGACUCUUCACAUAUCCAAAAUAUUUAAGCAGCUCAAUUUAAAAAAUAAUAAUAAUAACCCAAUUAAAAAAUGGACAGAAGAUCUAGGAGUUCCUGUUGUGGCACAGUGGAAAUGAAUUUGAUGUACUAUCCACGAGCACGCAGGCUCAAUUCCUGAUUUUGCUCAGUGGAUUAAGGAUCUGGUAUCACCAUGAGCCAUAGUGUAGGUCACAGACAUGGCCCAGAUCCCACAAUGCUUGGCUGUGGCAUAGGCUGGCAAUUACAGCUCCGAUUUCCACCCCUAACCUGGGAACCUCCAUAUGCCACACAGCUGUGGNNNNNNNNNNNNNNNAAAAAAAAAAAAAAAAAAAAAAAAAAGAAAAAGUGAGCAGAAGUUCUAAACAAACAUUUCUCCAAAGAAUACAUACAGAUUGCCAAAACCACAUGAAAAUAUGCUUAAUAUCAUAAUUAUUACAGAAAUGAAACUCAAAACCACAAUGAAGUAUCAUCUCACACCAGUCAGAAUAGUCACCAUCAAAAAAGUCUACCAACAAUAAAUGCUGGAAUGGAUACAGAAAAAAAGGGAACCCUCUCACACUGUUGGUGGGAAUGUAAAUUGGUACAACCACUAUGGAGAAGAGUGUGGAGGUUCUUUUAAAAAACUAAAAAUAGAACUAAUCCAACAACUUCACCCUGGGCAUGUAUUGAGAGAAAACCGUAAUUCAAAAAGAUACAUGCACCCCAAUGUUCAUUGCAGCACUAUUUACAAUAGCCAAGGCAUGGAAGCAACCUAUGCGUCCAAUGACAGAUGAAUGUAUAAAGAGGAUGUGUAUAUAUCUAUUUCCAUAUAUAUGUACUUAUAUAUAUGAAUAUUACUUAAUCAUAAAAGGAACAAAAUGCCAUUUUCAGCAACAUGGAUAGACCUAAAGAAUAUAUCAUAUUAAGUGAAGCCCCAAGAGAGAAAAGCAAAUACAUGAUAUCACUUCCUCAGAUCUUUUCCAAGCCUAUGCCUUGCCCUGGGCAAAUGUGAUCACUUUCCUAAUAUUCAGUUGUUUUUAAGUCCCUAGUCUUUGAUGUCUGGAUCCCAAAAGGGGAAUAGAGAAAAAUUAAGAGUGUGGAGAAUGCUGGCUCUUUAAGUCCCCUGAAGUUGCUUCAGCUGGAAGAAGGGGGCUUACAGCAAUAGCUGCCUGUUUCUUUGUCUGAAGCUCUAUGACCAGAAUCAAUAAUGAGUGAUCAGAGAACAAAUCCAGAAGUAUUGGAAAAUACUUUUCCCACUCCCACUCCAACUAAGUAUGCGUAAGCUGCUCAAGGAACAUGUGCACAGAUGCCUGCCACAAGGCUGAGGAAAAGAGAUGGGUAGCUGCUAACUGGACUAAGUGCUAAAAGUGACCAAAAUUAACUACAAUUUAUCAUUCAAGCCUUCCCUGGAAGUUACAGGCCGUGCACACUCCAGAAUUCCAAAAAAGUGCUAUCUCAGACAGCUUGUGCCAAUGCCACCUUCGUCUGGGUGAAGAGACACAUUCCUGGAGCUUCCUAUUCCACCAUCUUCCCAGAAUCUUCUCCAUCUAUUUCUUUCUUUUUUUAACAAUAUAUUAAGCCAUCAAAAUUUAGUUGAUGGAGUGCUCAAGGAAGUGUAACCACCUUGAAUUGUAUUAAAGAUAUACCACUAAGAGCUUCCUUUUGUUGAUUGCUACUGUUGUUGAUUUGCCUGUUCCAUUAUUUCAAUGUUUUAAUGUCUUCCUAAUCACGUGAUACAUUUAGAAGCUCUUAACUAUUGUCUCCAUCUCCUAUAUCCCCAGCUUCCAUUUAUAAUCUGAUGUAUGUUCUGGACAGCUUCUUUCUCAUAUAAAUUAUUAGACUACAAGAUUUACUUUGCUUAUUUUCUAAGUAAGCCUAUGAAUUGGUUCCAUUAUGUGGAAACUGACAUUCUUCAGAUUGCCAAGAAGGUAUACAGAAACACAUCAAUAUAAAUCACAAUUAUUUUAAGAAAAAUUAAUAGGAAUGUGUUAAUACAAAGGAGAACAAAAAGUAUCGAAUACUUUGAAAUGGGCUGGCUGGCCAGACAUAGAUGAUGCCUCAAUACUUAUGAGUGUUUCCCCAUCAAUUUUUAUUUGUAUGUUGCACUUACUGAAGAGGCAUAAGUGGGGAUAAUAUAAUACAUAAUAUAGUAGCUAGUAUCGGAACACAUGCUGAUUUUAAGAAAGAACCACUGAGUAAACAAAAACUUGUUUUGGUUCUGAUUUUUGUUUUGAGACAGCAAAAAUCAGAGUGAUUUUAAGGGAAAAAAAUCUAUAUGAUUGUCAGUCAACAAUAUAUAAUACUUGAUGAUAAUGCUAAAAAUUCUAGCUUGUAUUUUUCAUUUAUCAUAUUCCAGAUACAGUGUGUAUGUGUUACUUAUGCUGUUAAUUUUCCAGAAACUCUAAUACGUAUGUAUCUUCUUUAUCACAGAUUUUUUUCAAGAGUAGCUCAGAGAAAAUAAGUUAUGAUUAACCUCAAAAGAGUUUCAUUCAUUUGCACAUACUACACAAGUAAACUUUCACAAUAGGUAAAUAACUUAAGGGAAAAUGCUGUAGAGUAAAGUUUGUAUUAGUGCAUAGAGGACAUAUGCCAAGUAGCAAACUGCAAGCAAGAGAAGGAGUUGAGUGUUCUGGAUGAAGUCUGUUUCUGAAGAGCUUUAGGUUGGUCACUUUAGAAUAUUUAUUAUCACAGAUCAAUGUUACAAUUCAAGUGAGAACUAGUGGAAGACACUUCUGCAGUACUAGCAGCAAUGUACCAUCUCUGUAAUGUUAUUAAGACUACCGAAGGCCAUUGCUCUUGAGAAGCUGGCAAUGGGGGAAAGAUAAAUUUUAACACAAAGAGAGAAAGAGAGACAACCAAGUAAUUAUCUAUAACAGGAUUUCAAAUCAACUGCAGAAGGAAGACUGGGUUGUGAAAGGUAUGCAAAGUAUCAUUAUUGUGGAAAUUUUGUGAGAAGUGAAGAAAGAAGACAACUGCUAGUCCGUAGUGUAGUGUGAUGACUAAAAGCUGGUCUCUGAAUUCUGACAGCUUUGGUUGGCAUCUUGGGCUCUCAAUUAGCUAGCUUGGGAUCUUGGGAUAAUGUAAGUUCUCUACACUGACUGGAUGAACUUAAAGAGUUCUCCGUCCUUCCCUAAACUGCGCAGUUGAAUGUCCACUGUGCCUUGUGUAAUUGUGGCUGACAAGGUGAUUGUGGAAUCAAGACAUCAUAUGCUCCACGCUUCUUUUCCCACCAGUUUAGUUCCCCACAAGAUGCAGGUGGAGGGAAAAAUUUUUUUUUUCUAAAUAUUUACGACAACUGUACCUGCUAUUAUAAUUUAAUUUAAUUAAGAAAUUUAAUUAAGUAAUACAUAAGUGAUUGAAACGUUAACUAUUGACAGAAAAGGCUUUUUUCCUUCCAUGCUGAGUGUGUUAGAAAAAAAAAAUGUAUCUUUGAACUACACAGGAGAAAAAUUCUGGUGAAUUAGUUGUAAGAGAUCUGUGAAAAAGGUUUGAACACAAAUUCCUUUCUAGGUCCCCUUGAAGUACUUUUUCUCCUGAACCAAAAAUUAUAGAUCAUUCGCAGUAACAAUGUCUUAUGAUAGAAAAGACUUCAUGGGUCCCCAUCAAUGGAAACACAUGGAAAAAAAAUACUUUCUGACCCUACUCAAAAAGCUAU